ACAAAUUAAUAAUUACAACUUUCAACAACGGAUCUCUUGGUUCUGGCAUCGAUGAAGAACGCAGCGAAAUGCGAUAAGUAGUGUGAAUUGCAGAAUUCAGUGAAUCAUCGAAUCUUUGAACGCACAUUGCGCCCUUUGGUAUUCCAAAGGGCAUGC
RNAcentral lists this ribosomal RNA (156 nucleotides) under Alternaria alternata. RNAcentral's name for it is "5.8S ribosomal RNA". The stretch from base 17 to 156 matches the Rfam family "5.8S ribosomal RNA". Rfam says of the family: 5.8S ribosomal RNA (5.8S rRNA) is a component of the large subunit of the eukaryotic ribosome. It is transcribed by RNA polymerase I as part of the 45S precursor that also contains 18S and 28S rRNA. Lineage: Eukaryota; Fungi; Ascomycota; Dothideomycetes; Pleosporales; Pleosporaceae. The record is from RNAcentral.